GGACUAGUUAGCAUGACAUUCACAAUACCAAUGUAUAAUGCUUCGAGGCUUCACGUGAAAUACUUGCAGAUAGCAAAGAAAUCUAGUUCAUAUAAUCUAUAUUGAUGGGUGAGAUAUGUUACUCAGGCCAAUUCAUAUGUUGCUCGAAUAUGAUAGGUUAUGAAACUUGAGUAGAGUACAAUCAUUGAACAGGUCUAGCUCC
This is a long non-coding RNA of Hibiscus syriacus, 202 nucleotides long. RefSeq lists it as uncharacterized. The record is from RefSeq and is a predicted model, not a curated record. The transcript has 3 exons. Lineage: Eukaryota; Viridiplantae; Streptophyta; Magnoliopsida; Malvales; Malvaceae.